AGAGUUUGAUCCUGGCUCAGGAUGAACGCUAGCGGCAGGCCUAAUACAUGCAAGUCGAACGGGCUGGAGUAGCAAUACUCCAGUUAGUGGCGCACGGGUGCGUAACGCGUAUGCAACCUACCUUUUAUUGGGGGAUAGCCCGAAGAAAUUCGGAUUAAUACCGCAUAACACUAUUUGAUGGCAUCUGAAGAUAGUUAAAGCUACGGCGAUAAAAGAUGGGCAUGCGUGACAUUAGCUAGUUGGUGAGGUAACGGCUCACCAAGGCGACGAUGUCUAGGGGUUCUGAGAGGAUGAUCCCCCACAAUGGUACUGAGAUACGGACCAGACUCCUACGGGAGGCAGCAGUAGGGAAUAUUGGGCAAUGGAGGCAACUCUGACCCAGCCAUGCCGCGUGCAGGAUGAAGGCCUUCUGGGUUGCUUCUCUUUUACCAGGGAAGAAACGACCUUGCGAAGGGAAUGACGGUACCUG
This 469-nucleotide ribosomal RNA is filed under the name uncultured bacterium. RNAcentral's name for it is "bacterial SSU rRNA". It matches the Rfam family "Bacterial small subunit ribosomal RNA", at positions 8 to 481 of the family's 1533-position model. The record is from RNAcentral.